AUAAAAUGCAGCUUGAUACAUCUUUUGGUUUCAGGUAUCAACAAGAAGGCAUAAAUUGGCUAGCAUUUUUAAAGCGAUAUAACCUUCAUGGCAUCUUAUGUGAUGAUAUGGGUCUAGGUAAAACCCUUCAAUCAUCAACAAUCGUGGCAUCUGAUGUAGCAGAGUGCAUUGCUGUUAAUGCUAAUGAUCUACCACCAUCAUUAAUAGUUUGCCCAUCACUGCUUGUUGGGCACUGGGUGAAUGAGAUAGAUAAGUUUAUUGAUUCUUCUCUUUUAGCAUCACUUCAAUACAUCGGUUCUGCUCAAGAGCGCUCGUCUCUUCAACCACAAUUUGAUAAGCACAAUGUUAUUGUAACAUCAUAUGUGAUAUGACGUAGUCCGUAAAGAUAUUGAUUAUCUCAGCCAACUUUUCUGGAGCUACUGCAUUUUGGACGAGGUACAUAUAAUAAAGAACUCAAAGUCCAAAGUCACAGGUGCAGUGAAACAAUUGAAGGCUCAGCACCAUCUGAUACAGAGUGGAACACCAAUCCAGGUUCAUUUUAAUUUUAGCUUCAGUUGGCUAGAAAUUAGCUUGUACUUUACCUGACGAAACUUCUACAUCUAAUUACAGAAUAACAUGUUGGAUCUUUGGUCUCUUUUUGACUUUCUCAUGCCAGGAUUUCUUGGAACAUAAAGACAAGCACGUGAUGUAGCCUAUUUUUCUUUUCCAUCUUUUGUUACGGUGAUUGCGUACUUAUCCCCCUCCCUCUCACAAUUAAAAAAAAAAAACAUUUAUAUGCAUGCUCCUAUGUUUUUAGUAAUUUAUUUAUCAUGAUAUACUCUCAGAAAAUCUCUAGAUGAUCUGUUGCUAAUAUCUUUGUUAGACAAAGUGGAGCAGUGUGUAAACUCUAUUUCCUCUCCCUGGUUACAUGGUUGUACAUGUAUUGAUUUUCAUAUAAUACUCAGUCGACUUCAUAUUACAUAGUUUUGUUGUGAAUGCUUAUUAUUACAUCCUUUUGCAAUCCUUGGAGUGAAGGUGUCACAUAAAUUUAGAUUUCAUCAUUUUUGUGUAAUAUAAUCCUUGUAUUCUUCAUAGAUAAGGCUCUUUUAUUUACCGAUCUAUUCUGUUAUAUGUCCCUAUCCGAACACAAUUGAAGCGUAGCGUCAGUAUCUAUUGCAUUUAAUUGGGUUCUAACCCAUUACCAAAGUAGAGUAGAAUAUUCAUAUUUUGUGGAAUUGUUACUCUUCAAAAAUAUUGAGUUUUAAAAUUGUAUAAUGUCAUGUGGGAUAACGCUGAAGGUUGCAUAUUUAAAUAUUUGGUGUUAAAACUUGUCUCCAAGUUUAAUAUGAUUUUCUUUGCCUACUUUACCUCUCUUUUGGUGCUAAGACUGAUAUAAAAUCAUCUUUAUUUUUAAAGGUUGGAGCUCCAACUCGUGUUGGUCUAGUCGCUUCAGUAGAUGUUAUUGUCCCACCAGGCAACAUUGGACUUGAUCCAUCCCAGACUUCUUUUUUCCAGUUAAUGGUUAUUUUCUGAAUGGAUUGGUGUUCGAACAUGUCUGAACAGCGUGGCUUUCAUGUGGGGAAGAGGGAUGAUGUUAAUGGGUGUAUAGAAAUAUGCAUAUGGGCUGUCCCUAACUCUUUGUUUACAGUUACACAAGGGGGGGAAAGGUUGCAUUAGUGAUGCUGGUUAUAAGUUACGAUGUUAUGCCUCUAAAUACCCAUCAACUAAUUUUUAGAUUAAUGAAAU
RNAcentral lists this long non-coding RNA (1725 nucleotides) under Olea europaea subsp. europaea. The record is from RNAcentral. Lineage: Eukaryota; Viridiplantae; Streptophyta; Magnoliopsida; Lamiales; Oleaceae.